CGGGCUUGAUCGAAUAGUCGGUCGCCGGACAGUCAUGCACAGAUGUUCUCCUGGCGUAUCCUUUUGCUGCAGAUGUUCCCUCCCUCAUCUGCAUGCGAUGCGCCCUCCUGGCCCCGCUCGCCUUACAUGGCAAGCGGGGCUUUUU
This 145-nucleotide small RNA is filed under the name Pararhizobium antarcticum. RNAcentral's name for it is "Rhizobiales sRNA Atu_C7". The stretch from base 45 to 145 matches the Rfam family "Rhizobiales sRNA Atu_C7", at positions 53 to 157 of the family's 157-position model. Lineage: Bacteria; Pseudomonadati; Pseudomonadota; Alphaproteobacteria; Hyphomicrobiales; Rhizobiaceae. The record is from Rfam by way of RNAcentral.